AGUCACUGACAUUAGAUACCCGCGUAGUCCAGGGUGUAAACGCUGCAGACUUGGUGUUGGAAGUCCUUUGGGGGCAUUCAGUGCCGGAGAGAAGUUGUUAAGUCUGCUACUUGGGAGUACGUCCGCAAGGAUGAAACUUAAAGGAAUUGGCGGGGGAGCACCGCAACGGGAGGAGCGUGCGGUUUAAUUUGGAUUCAACACCGUAAAACUCACCAGGGAAGACUGUUACAUGAAAGCCGAGAUGAAGACUCUGCUAGAUUUUCAG
This 265-nucleotide ribosomal RNA is filed under the name uncultured archaeon. RNAcentral describes it as "partial 16S ribosomal RNA". It matches the Rfam family "Archaeal small subunit ribosomal RNA", at positions 716 to 982 of the family's 1478-position model. The record is from RNAcentral.